UCCUCUAUAGCUAAGUGGUGAAGGCGUCGACCUUAUGCGGUUAAUCCAACAAUAUGUCUUGUCGAAGAGCAGCGGUUCGAACCCGCUUAGAGGAA
Non-coding RNA from Naganishia vaughanmartiniae, 95 nucleotides. The record is from the annotation of a GenBank genome assembly. NCBI's taxonomy places the organism in Eukaryota, Fungi, Basidiomycota, Tremellomycetes, Filobasidiales, Filobasidiaceae.